AAGUCGUAACAAGGUUUCCGUAGGUGAACCUGCGGAAGGAUCAUUAACACGUAUCCAACGUUAAACCCCCCGUGAACCUUCAGUGCGCUCGCACUUUCUUAGAAAAGGUAGCAAUCCCUGGUAAAUCAUUGCCGAACAGUUUUGAUUCAGGGACUUCUGCGUAGACUGUGCUUGAGCGUGAGGCAAGUGGCCUGGCAUUCCUCUGCUUGUUGGUGUCUGAAAGUGUCACCAGCUCUGUACGAAUGGCGCAGUCACGAUCGCUAGAGGCCGACACGGCCGGCGACCGGGUCACUGGGCGCGAGCCCCCCUCGUCACCUUUGCAUGAAAACGGGCCCACCAAACUCGAACAACUGUUAACAACGGAAAUCUUGGUUCUC
RNAcentral lists this unclassified non-coding RNA (377 nucleotides) under fungal sp. RNAcentral describes it as "partial internal transcribed spacer region". The stretch from base 1 to 46 matches the Rfam family "Eukaryotic small subunit ribosomal RNA", at positions 1786 to 1831 of the family's 1831-position model. Lineage: Eukaryota; Fungi. The record is from RNAcentral.